This 496-nucleotide ribosomal RNA is filed under the name uncultured bacterium. RNAcentral describes it as "partial 16S ribosomal RNA". It matches the Rfam family "Bacterial small subunit ribosomal RNA", at positions 29 to 507 of the family's 1533-position model. The record is from RNAcentral.
AUGAACGCUGGCGGCGUGCCUAAUACAUGCAAGUCGAGCGAACGGACGAGAAGCUUGCUUUUCUGAUGUUAGCGGCGGACGGGUGAGUAACACGUGGAUAACCUACCUAUAAGACUGGGAUAACUUCGGGAAACCGGAGCUAAUACCGGAUAAUAUUUUGAACCGCAUGGUUCAAAAGUGAAAGACGGUCUUGCUGUCACUUAUAGAUGGAUCCGCGCUGCAUUAGCUAGUUGGUAAGGUAACGGCUUACCAAGGCAACGAUGCAUAGCCGACCUGAGAGGGUGAUCGGCCACACUGGAACUGAGACACGGUCCAGACUUCUACGGGAGGCAGCAGUAGGGAAUCUUCCGCAAUGGGCGAAAGCCUGACGGAGCAACGCCGCGUGAGUGAUGAAGGUCUUCGGAUCGUAAAACUCUGUUAUUAGGGAAGAACAUAUGUGUAAGUAACUGUGCACAUCUUGACGGUACCUAAUCAGAAAGCCACGGCUAACUACGUG